RNAcentral lists this ribosomal RNA (487 nucleotides) under uncultured bacterium. RNAcentral's name for it is "partial 16S ribosomal RNA". It matches the Rfam family "Bacterial small subunit ribosomal RNA", at positions 28 to 507 of the family's 1533-position model. The record is from RNAcentral.
GACGAACGCUGGCGGCGUGCUUAACACAUGCAAGUCGAACGGGCUCUGUCUGGCUGUGUGCUGGGUGGGGUUAGUGGCGAACGGGUGAGUAAUACGUGAGUAACCUGCCCUCUUCUUUGGGAUAAGCCUUGGAAACGGGGUCUAAUACUGGAUAUUCCUGUCUGGUCGCUUGGCUGGGUGGGGAAAGUUUUUUUCGGUGGGGGAUGGGCGCGCGGCCUAUCAGCUUGUGGGUGGGGUGAUGGCCUACCAAUGCGUCGACGGGUAGCCGGCCGGGGGGAGUGAGCGGGCACAGGGGGACUGAGACACGGCCCAGACUCCUACGGGAGGCAGCAGUGGGGGAUAAGAAGCAAGGGGCGCAGGCCUGAUGGAGCGAGGCCGCGUGGGGGAUGACGGCUUUCGGGUUGUAAACCUCUUGCGGCGGGGGACAAGGCUCUGCUUGGUGGUGGGGUUGAGGGUACCCGGUGAAGAAGCGCCGGCUAACUACGUG